UACGUAGGGUGCGAGCGUUAAUCGGAAUUACUGGGCGUAAAGCGUGCGCAGGCGGUUCGCCAAGUCAGGUGUGAAAUCCCCGGGCUUAACCUGGGAAUGGCAUUUGGGACUGCAAGGCUGGAGUGCGGCAGAGGAGACUGGAAUUCCUGGUGUAGCAGUGAAAUGCGUAGAUAUCAGGAGGAACACCGAUGGCGAAGGCAGGUCUCUGGGCUGACACUGACGCUCAUGCACGAAAGCGUGGGGAGCAAACAGG
RNAcentral lists this ribosomal RNA (253 nucleotides) under uncultured bacterium. Its description in RNAcentral is "partial 16S ribosomal RNA". It matches the Rfam family "Bacterial small subunit ribosomal RNA", at positions 524 to 776 of the family's 1533-position model. The record is from RNAcentral.